AUGUGGAAUCUUGUUCUUCCUCAACACACCCUUGAAAGUCACGUGCUCGGGUGUUUUGUUUGUAGGAUCGCAGCUGGGUAGUAUUCAAGGGGUUGAGAGAGGUUUAAACUGCAGAGGUGUCUGAGUUUUGUUGUAAUCUUGUCUGAGGUCACAUAGCUUAUUAAGUGGUGGAGCCCAGAGGAGUCUGACAUUCCAGUGACCCCCCAGCCAUGAUGCUAAGACACUAUGGCACUUGGGGGUCAAUAUUGUUUUUAACGCAGAUUCACUUUAAUCACAUUACAAGGGCACAGGAAUGUUCUUCAGUUCCACAGAGAAAUAUGCCUUCUCCCAUUUUCCCUGAAGCACAGGGCCCUUAGACCUCUCUUUUAUUGUCAUCUUUUUUUUCAAAGACACAGGUAGAGAAAAAAACAGCAUUGGCAAGGUGAAGGAGCAACACUGAAAGUCACACUCGGACUCAGGUUUAGGCUGCCUUGAACAUGCUGGCCCUGUGGCACCCACCGACCUGUGGAGAUAAAAGCAUCCCAUCCUACGGACCACCACCCACCCAGACAGAGUGAAGAUGGGCUCUGUUGAGCCUUUUGUGAUACCUGCUCUUGGAACCGAGCCACCAUACUGUGAGGAAGUCCAAGCCACCCUGUGGAGAGGCGGGUAUGGAGAGAAGCAGCAUACAGUGACUCGAAGCCGGCGAGUGAGUCAUCUUGGAAGUGGCUCUUCCAGCCCCAGCUGACACCACGUGGGG
Lontra canadensis (Northern American river otter) is the source of this 739-nucleotide long non-coding RNA. RefSeq lists it as uncharacterized. The transcript is spliced from 3 exons. The record is from RefSeq and is a predicted model, not a curated record. Lineage: Eukaryota; Metazoa; Chordata; Mammalia; Carnivora; Mustelidae.